RNAcentral lists this long non-coding RNA (310 nucleotides) under Setaria viridis. Its description in RNAcentral is "long non-coding RNA (SVIR_LNC010938)". Lineage: Eukaryota; Viridiplantae; Streptophyta; Magnoliopsida; Poales; Poaceae. The record is from RNAcentral.
CUUGCUGUUCCUUUCUUCUGCACUUUGGCUUCUAACAUGCACUGCUAGCCCUCCUCUUGUUGUUCCUUUCUUCGCUUGCGGCUUCUGUAUGAGUUGAUGUCCCCUCAGAAAGCGUACUUCCAUGGAACGACCCCGUACCCUCGGAAACAUCCCGGGUGCUCGGGAUUCCCAAGGGCCAAUUUGAGCUCAUCAUUCUCUCUAUCCACCUUCAACCUCCCAGCUUUAGCAUCUUCAAUGUUUUUGAUAAGCCUUUCGGCCUUCUGAUGUAUUGUUUUUUUGAAGACUAGUGUCCCAUCCUCUUUAAACCCCC